AUCCAGCUGACGAGUCCCAAAUAGGACGAAACGAGCGUCAUAUUGGAU
Molecule: non-coding RNA, 48 nt
Organism: Schistosoma rodhaini
Lineage: Eukaryota; Metazoa; Platyhelminthes; Trematoda; Strigeidida; Schistosomatidae
Source: Rfam